RNAcentral lists this ribosomal RNA (574 nucleotides) under uncultured bacterium. RNAcentral's name for it is "partial 16S ribosomal RNA". It matches the Rfam family "Bacterial small subunit ribosomal RNA", at positions 355 to 924 of the family's 1533-position model. The record is from RNAcentral.
CUAAGAAUAUUCCGCAAUGGACGGAAGUCUGACGGAGCGACGCCGCGUGGAUGACGAAGGCCGAAAGGUUGUAAAGUUCUUUUGCUGGGGAAGAAUAACCGCAGGAGGGAAUGCCUGUGGGAUGACAAGAACCGGCGAAUAAGCCCCGGCCAACUACGUGCCAGCAGCCGCGGUAACACGUAGGGGGGCGAGCGUUGUUCGGAAUUACUGGGCGUAAAGGGCAUGUAGGCGGCUUGGAAAGCCUGGCGUGAAAGUCUGCAGCUUAACUGCAGGGGUGCGCUGGGAACUGCUGAGCUUGAGUGACGGAGAGGGAGCUGGAAUUCCUGGUGUAGGGGUGAAAUCUGUAGAUAUCAGGAAGAACACCGAUGGCGAAGGCAAGCUCCUGGCCGAUGACUGACGCUGAGGUGCGAAAGUGUGGGGAUCAAACAGGAUUAGAUACCCUGGUAGUCCACACAGUCAACGAUGUGCACUAGGUGCUGGGGCGGUAGCUUCGGUGCCGGAGCGAACGUGGUAAGUGCACCGCCUGGGGAGUAUGCUCGCAAGGGUGAAACUCAAUGAAUUGACGGGGGUCAUA